CAUUAAAGAGUUCUAUAACUCCCAAACCCAUGUGAACAUACCUAACGUUGCCUCGGCAGGUCGCACCUACCUUGUAGCACCCUACCCUGUAGGGCCUACCCGGGAGGUGCGGGUAAGCCUGCCGGCGGCCCACCAAACUCUGUUUGAUAUUGAAUUCUGAACCUAUAACUAAAUAAGUUAAAACUUUCAACAACGGAUCUCUUGGUUCUGGCAUCGAUGAAGAACGCAGCGAAAUGCGAUAAGUAAUGUGAAUUGCAGAAUUCAGUGAAUCAUCGAAUCUUUGAACGCAUAUUGCGCCCAUUAGUAUUCUAGUGGGCAGGACCGUUCGAGCGUCAUUUCAACCCUUAAGCCUUCGUUGCUUAGUGUUGGGAGCCUACGGCAACGUAGCUCCUCAAAGUUAGUGGCGGAGUUGGUUCACACUCUAGACGUAGUAAUUUUUUAUCUCGCCUAUUAGUUGGACUAAUCCCCUGCCGUAAAACCCCCAAUUUAUCAAGGUUGACCUCGAAUCGGUUCAGACAAACUCGCUAAAUUGAAGCAUCUUAGUCAGCGAAGGAAAAGAAACCAACAGGGAUUGCCCUAGUAACGGCGAGUGAAGCGGCAACAGCUCAAAUUUGAAAUCUGGCCCUCGGGUCCGAGUUGUAAUUUGUAGAGGAUGCUUUUGGCGCGGUGCCUUCCGAGUUCCCUGGAACGGGACGCCUUAGAGGGUGAGAGCCCCGUACGGUUGGACACCAAGCCUCUGUAAAGCUCCUUCGACGAGUCGAGUAGCUUGGGAAUGCUGCUCUAAAUG
Molecule: ribosomal RNA, 787 nt
Filed under: fungal endophyte
Lineage: Eukaryota; Fungi
Description: eukaryotic LSU rRNA
Rfam family: Eukaryotic large subunit ribosomal RNA (bases 497-787)
Source: RNAcentral